Molecule: long non-coding RNA, 426 nt
Organism: Helianthus annuus (common sunflower)
Lineage: Eukaryota; Viridiplantae; Streptophyta; Magnoliopsida; Asterales; Asteraceae
Exons: 3
Source: RefSeq, a predicted model, not a curated record
ACACACACACACAUAGGAGUGUAUGUGUGCGUGUACAGAGAUAGGAAGUUGAGGAUGAACUUGUGUUCAUCAAAAUCACCAAGAAAUUCCCUAAUCCAACUAAAAUUGGAGAUGUCCUUGAUGCAUGUUUAGUGAUUUUGAGUGUUCUACAUCAUAUAAUCAUAAGGCAACUUGGGUGAAGCAUCAAGUGGUUAAACCGGGGCGGAUGCGCGCUCAAAAGGAAAGGGUUAAGGUGACUACAAUAGAUCAGAAUAAUAGUUGUGAUACGGCACCAAAAGGCUUAAAGAAGUGGCUUAUUUUAUCAAUUAAAUUAAAUUAAGAAAAGUUGUUUUAUGUAUUCGCGUUUAUCCCAUAUUAAAGCUACCUUUGUAAAACAUAGGUUUUAUUCUCAUCUGUUUAAUAAAAUAAAAUCUGGUGUUUCUAAAC